GUUGAAGUUCGUGGAAGAAAUGGGAAAAAGAUUGGUGAGGCUUAUAAUUUCGACGAGUUAAGAGAAAUGCAGUAUCUCCAUGCAGCUAUUUCAGAAUCCAUGAGGUUAUAUCCACCAGUACCAAUUGAUACAAGGAGUUGUUUGAAAGAUGAAAUUUUACCAGAUGGGACUUUUAUUGGUAAAGAUUGGUUUAUAAGUUAUCAAACUUAUAGCAUGGGAAGAAUGGAGAAUCUUUGGGGUAAAGAUUGUUGCGAGUAUAAACCAGAAAGAUGGUUCGAC
Molecule: unclassified non-coding RNA, 279 nt
Filed under: Hevea brasiliensis (rubber tree)
Lineage: Eukaryota; Viridiplantae; Streptophyta; Magnoliopsida; Malpighiales; Euphorbiaceae
Source: RNAcentral